Oncorhynchus tshawytscha (Chinook salmon) is the source of this 781-nucleotide long non-coding RNA. The record is from Ensembl. Lineage: Eukaryota; Metazoa; Chordata; Actinopteri; Salmoniformes; Salmonidae.
GUGUAUUAUAGUUGUAUAUAAUAUUGGUAUAUAUUUGCUGGUUAGUGGUAUAUAGGUGUUAGUUGGUGGUAUAUAGGUGUUAGUUGGUGUAUUAUAGUUGUAUAUAAUAUUGGUAUAUAUUCGCUGGUUGGUGGUAUAUAAUAGUGGUUUAUUGGUGUUAGUUGGUGGUAUAUAAUAGCGGUAUUUAGGUUUUAGUUGGUGGUAUAUAAUAGUGGUAUAUAGGUGUUAGUUGGUGGUGUAUAAUAGUGGUUUAUUGGUGUUAGUUGGUGGUAUAUAAUAGUGGUAUAUAGGUGUUAGUUGGUGGUGUAUUAUAGUUGUAUAUAAUAUUGGUAUAUAUUUGCUGGUUAGUGGUAUAUAGGUGUUAGUUGGUGGUAUAUAGGUGUUAGUUGGUGUAUUAUAGUUGUAUAUAAUAUUGGUAUAUAUUUGCUGGUUAGUGGUAUAUAGGUGUUAGUUGGUGGUAUAUAGGUGUUAGUUGGUGUAUUAUAGUUGUAUAUAAUAUUGGUAUAUAUUCGCUGGUUGGUGGUAUAUAAUAGUGGUUUAUUGGUGUUAGUUGGUGGUAUAUAAUAGCGGUAUUUAGGUUUUAGUUGGUGGUAUAUAAUAGUGGUAUAUAGGUGUUAGUUGGUGGUGUAUAAUAGUGGUUUAUUGGUGUUAGUUGGUGGUAUAUAAUAGCGGUAUUUAGGUGUUAGUUGGUGGUAUAUAAUAGUGGUUUAUUGGUGUUAGUUGGUGGUGUAUAAUAGUGGUUUAUUGGUGUUAGUUGGUGGUAUAUAACAGUGGUAUAUAG